This 28-nucleotide small RNA is filed under the name Bombyx mori (domestic silkworm). Its description in RNAcentral is "ovarian small RNA-35457". Lineage: Eukaryota; Metazoa; Arthropoda; Insecta; Lepidoptera; Bombycidae. The record is from RNAcentral.
UGUAUAGUGCUACAGCUGGCAGAAUCGC